AGGUCUUGACAUCCUCCUGACCGGUCUAGAGAUAGGCUUUCCCUUCGGGGCAGGAGUGACAGGUGGUGCAUGGUUGUCGUCAGCUCGUGUCGUGAGAUGUUGGGUUAAGUCCCGCAACGAGCGCAACCCCUAUUGUUAGUUGCCAUCAUUAAGUUGGGCACUCUAGCGAGACUGCCGGUAAUAAACCGGAGGAAGGUGGGGAUGACGUCAAAUCAUCAUGCCCCUUAUGACCUGGGCUACACACGUGCUACAAUGGUUGGUACAACGAGUCGCAAGCCGGUGACGGCAAGCUAAUCUCUUAAAGCCAAUCUCAGUUCGGAUUGUAGGCUGCAACUCGCCUACAUGAAGUCGGAAUCGCUAGUAAUCGCGGAUCAGCACGCCGCGGUGAAUACGUUCCCGGGCC
This 403-nucleotide ribosomal RNA is filed under the name uncultured Streptococcus sp. Its description in RNAcentral is "bacterial SSU rRNA". It matches the Rfam family "Bacterial small subunit ribosomal RNA", at positions 976 to 1380 of the family's 1533-position model. Lineage: Bacteria; Bacillati; Bacillota; Bacilli; Lactobacillales; Streptococcaceae. The record is from RNAcentral.